GAUGAACGCUGGCGGCGUGCUUAACACAUGCAAGUCGAACGAAGAGGCCCAGCUUUUGGGGCGGAUUCGUGAGGAGCGGGCGAGUGACACACGAGAGCAUACCUCUCCUACAGGUGUGAUAUCGCCAAGCGAAAGCGGAUACCACAGAAUAUAAUAUACUGCAUCGUUGGGUUGUGUAGGAAGGUUCGGCUGUUGGGUAUAGACUGGACGGGGCCGCGUUAGCUUGUUGGGUAGGUAACGGCUUAGCAAGGCAAGGAUGCGUAGCCGACCUGAGAGGGUGAUCGGCCACACUGGAACUGAGACACGGUCCAGACUCCUACGGGAGGCCGCAGUAGGGAAUCUUCCGCAAUGGGCGAAAGCUUGACGGAGCAACGCCGCGUGAGUGAUGAAGGUCUUCGGAUCGUAAAACUCUGUUAUUAGGGAAGAACAAAUGUGUAAGUAACUAUGCACGUCUUGACGGUACCUAAUCAGAAAGCCACGGCUAACUACGUG
This 492-nucleotide ribosomal RNA is filed under the name uncultured bacterium. RNAcentral describes it as "partial 16S ribosomal RNA". It matches the Rfam family "Bacterial small subunit ribosomal RNA", at positions 28 to 507 of the family's 1533-position model. The record is from RNAcentral.